Salvia splendens (bonfire salvia) is the source of this 757-nucleotide long non-coding RNA. RefSeq lists it as uncharacterized. The transcript is spliced from 2 exons. The record is from RefSeq and is a predicted model, not a curated record. NCBI's taxonomy places the organism in Eukaryota, Viridiplantae, Streptophyta, Magnoliopsida, Lamiales, Lamiaceae.
UUAGUCAGAUAUUAUUUGUCAAGAAAAGGGAGAAGGUUGGUUAGGAAAUCUCUUUUUCUUGGUUUACGGUAUGUAAGGCUAAAUUCUACCGAAUUCUUUUCUUGUGCUUGGUUGGAGUGUCUUGCAACAAUGAACUAAUCAAAAUUCCACCAGUACCCUCAACUUAUUCCCUUAUUUCCAACUUUGUGCUCAUGGAACCCUAGCAAUAUAAUUUGUUCCUCCCGCCAGAAUUGUAAAUUCUGUGCUCUUAUUUACCGUCGUCUGCCUCCAUACAAACCCUCAUUGCGACUCUUGCAAUUCGAUGUCGACCGAUUCGCCUAAGCUCACACAACGGUUUGACGAUAAACAAUGUGUGCGUUUUCAAGUUAGCUCGAAGUACCUCAUGGACGUAGCAUGAAAUAGUAUGGCCCGACCGCAAAAAAUCAAACCCGCAGAUACGAAUCUUCUUGUGAUGUUCUAAUACGCCUAAAAAAUGGCCACUUGUUCUUCAAUAUACACAAACCGCUUGUCACGAAGAGUACCCAGCUAUCAGAACAAUGCACAUAGCCUACCAAAUGCAUUCCGGUCCAUCCUAAGAUUGACCAGGCUGUCCGUGUCAGUAACACCAACCAAUCUGUUCAUGUGGCUGACUUGUUUAUGCACUGUGUCGAUGAUGCUAUAAGGUGUACAAGUUGAGUUCUCUUCCUUUUAUUGUGUCGACCCAAUCGUUUGAGGAUAAGGUAUAUGAUACAUAGUCGAGCUACAAGAUAAUUCCGUA